AGUGAACGCUGGCGGUAGGCCUAACACAUGCAAGUCGAACGGCAGCACAGUAAGAGCUUGCUCUUACGGGUGGCGAGUGGCGGACGGGUGAGGAAUACAUCGGAAUCUACUUUUUCGUGGGGGAUAACGUAGGGAAACUUACGCUAAUACCGCAUACGACCUACGGGUGAAAGCAGGGGAUCUUCGGACCUUGCGCGAUUGAAUGCGCCGAUGUCGGAUUAGCUAGUUGGCGGGGUAAAGGCCCACCAAGGCGCCGAUCCGUAGCUGGUCUGAGAGGAUGAUCAGCCACACUAGAACUGAGACACGGUCCAGACUCCUACGAGAGGCAGCAGUGGGGAAUAUUGGACAAUGGGCGCAAGCCUGAUCCAGCCAUACCGCGUGGGUGAAGAAGGCCUUCGGGUUGUAAAGCCCUUUUGUUGGGAAAGAAAAGCAGCAGGUUAAUACCCCGCUGUUCUGACGGUACCCAAAGAAUAAGCACCGGCUAACUUCGUG
Molecule: ribosomal RNA, 492 nt
Filed under: uncultured bacterium
Lineage: Bacteria
Description: partial 16S ribosomal RNA
Rfam family: Bacterial small subunit ribosomal RNA
Source: RNAcentral